CUUACAAUUUAACGAGUGGUUACAACCUUAUGGAUUUAACUGUAUUGUGAGACGCCUAUGGUCAAUUUCAACAUUACCCAGUCAAAUCUUAAAUGCCGGUUGCCUAUACUACGCAUUCAUUUGUCAAUUGUCAUUUCAUAUUCAUUUCCGAUUCCUCGAUGACAAGUAACAAUGUCUAAAUUUCCCACGAUUUCUGCCACCGCCGUCAAUUGUUAGUUCUGUUCAGAAAUUGCAGUCCUUGCAGUAAUUUAUUCUGCAAGAACUGCAAUUUCCAAAUAGAGCUCAACGAACACUUCAAAUCGCACCUCCGAAUCAGCGUGAGCGUGAAGGAGGGAAUUAAGAAGAGUUCCAACAACGUUUUUGUUGUCUAUUUUUAUUUGCAAGAGAAUACUGUGUCUAUGUUCAAUUUAAUUUUAGUUUGCCAAGUGUAUUUAAAACAGUUUUCGCAUUGAAAUAAAUUUCGUUUUACAAUUUAA
Molecule: long non-coding RNA, 476 nt
Organism: Zophobas morio
Lineage: Eukaryota; Metazoa; Arthropoda; Insecta; Coleoptera; Tenebrionidae
Exons: 2
Source: RefSeq, a predicted model, not a curated record